This 253-nucleotide ribosomal RNA is filed under the name uncultured bacterium. RNAcentral describes it as "partial 16S ribosomal RNA". It matches the Rfam family "Bacterial small subunit ribosomal RNA", at positions 524 to 776 of the family's 1533-position model. The record is from RNAcentral.
UACGUAGGCAGCAAGCGUUGUUCGGAAUUACUGGGCGUAAAGAGUGUGUAGGCGGUGCUCUAAGUUCGUUGUGAAAUCUCCCGGCUUAACUGGGAGGGUGCGGCGGAAACUGGAGUGCUUGAGCGCGGGAGAGAAAAGCGGAAUUCCACGUGUAGCGGUGAAAUGCGUAGAGAUGUGGAGGAACACCAGUGGCGAAGGCGGCUUUUUGGUCUGUAACUGACGCUGAGGCGCGAAAGCGUGGGGAGCAAACAGG